RNAcentral lists this ribosomal RNA (274 nucleotides) under uncultured bacterium. RNAcentral describes it as "partial 16S ribosomal RNA". It matches the Rfam family "Bacterial small subunit ribosomal RNA", at positions 523 to 796 of the family's 1533-position model. The record is from RNAcentral.
AUACGGAGGGUCCAAGCGUUAUCCGGAAUCAUUGGGUUUAAAGGGUCCGCAGGCGGUCAAUUAAGUCAGAGGUGAAAGCCCAUCGCUCAACGAUGGAACUGCCUUUGAUACUGGUUGACUAGAGUUAUACGGAAGUAGAUAGAAUAAGUAGUGUAGCGGUGAAAUGCAUAGAUAUUACUUAGAAUACCGAUUGCGAAGGCAGUCUACUACGUAUAUACUGACGCUGAGGGACGAAAGCGUGGGGAGCGAACAGGAUUAGAAACCCUAGUAGUCC